This 330-nucleotide unclassified non-coding RNA is filed under the name soil metagenome. RNAcentral's name for it is "partial contains 5.8S ribosomal RNA, internal transcribed spacer 2, and large subunit ribosomal RNA". The stretch from base 1 to 120 matches the Rfam family "5.8S ribosomal RNA", at positions 35 to 154 of the family's 154-position model. The record is from RNAcentral.
GAUGAAGAACGUAGCGAAAUGCGAUAAGUAGUGUGAAUUGCAGAAUUCAGUGAAUCAUCGAAUCUUUGAACGCACAUUGCGCCCCUUUGUAUUCCAUGGGGCAUGCCUGUUCGAGCGUCAUUUGUACCCUCAAGCUUUGCUUGGUGUUGGGCGUCUUGUCUUGUAUUAGACUCGCCUUAAAGUCAUUGGCAGCCAGUGUUUUUGGUAGUAAGCGCAGCACAUUUUGCGUCUUAGUCCUUGAAUCGUGGCAUCCAUGAAGCCUUUUUUCACUUUUGACCUCGGAUCAGGUAGGGAUACCCGCUGAACUUAAGCAUAUCAAUAAGCGGAGGA